UUUUAACAAAUGACGAUGAUAAUAAUUUCGAAACGAUAGUUGGCUAGAAUAGUACAAGUUGCCAAGGUUAUAUUGUUAUUUACAUCAAAUGUCACCGCGUUGUCUAGCUUGAAAUCCUCUUUUGAUUUUCAAAAUGGGAUUCUCUCGUCUGGAAACGAAAUAAAAAUGUUGGAGGUCGCUUCUUCUUCUUCUUCACGACUGAAACGUUUUUAAUCUAAUAAACAACAAGUCGGACUUUCAAAAAACAUAAAAAGAAACAUGUGGCAAGUUUGAAAAAAAAAUAAAAUCUUGUUUCUUUCUCUCUCUCUUCUUGUUACGAGGGCGGGUGCACGUGUCACGACGUGUUUCUCCGCUGUAGGUCAACGGUCUCCGGGACACAGGAUAUUAUUUCCACAUACACACAAGAGAACAACUCGAAAACCCUCAAAGCUGAUAGUAGUUGAUACACACAAUACCGCGCCCAGAAAAUUCAUUGGUACAUAUAACAGCAGCAGCAAAAGUUCAGUAGACAAUCAAGACUAUGUUGUUUGAUUAUCAACACGUUUAUACAUUUUAUUUCUUUCUUUUCUUGUCCAGGUUUUAUCAGAUAAAAGAAAAACUUGCUGCUCCGGGACUGGUCUCUGAAGGUGUACAUACAAUUGGCAAUCCAUCGACCAAAAGGUAAAAAAGAACAGCAAGUACCACCUAAGCCUUUGUGUCGACCGAGCCCCGUUGAAAAAAUAAAAAACUGUGCUGAAUGCCAAAUGCUGCUAUCCAAUAUGGCCCACCUUUCUCUCUGUCGGCGCUCACCUGGAUUAUUCUCUACUUUCCAUAUAUUCAAUAUAAUAAGAACACAUGCACGAACCACUCCGCCCGUCCCGUCCCGACUUGAUCGAUAUCAGAAAUGUUCCUGCAACAACAAGAGAGAAAACAAUUCAUAUUUUUGUUCGAUUUUUGUUUUAUUCGUUGGAGGGGGGAAGAAGAAGAUCGAUAAGAUCGUCACGCCGGCUUUCACCUGCGAGACUUUUUUUUAGACAGGUAAAUAUAAUACUGUGGAAGAUGAAAAAUAACGAGUCAUAAGCGGCUUCCCUAAAGGCCGUCUGAGAAGAAAAAGAUGAAGGGACUAAAAACGACCAAGAAAUCCGUAGAUGACGUCAGAGUAACAAUGGGACCCAAUCACGGGCUCAAUUCAUCAUAAAAAAAAAACAUCUCUUAUAACAAACCAAAGCGGUCCCGUUCUUUUUCCUUAAAUAACCUUUUCCUUGAAAAUCUUGUAUGUUACAAGCUCUCACGGAAAAUAAAAACCUUUCCUGGAUAUUUUUUUUUCCGAAUUCUCCUGGAAUUUCUCGCGCCACAAAAAGAGGAGCAGAUGAUUUCACAAAUUUUUUAGUUCCCCCCCUCUUUUACAAAAGAUGGUUUGAACAAACGAGUGUGUGGCACGUAUAUUCUGCUGGCCCUCCAUGUCCACACACACAACAGACAUUGGGGUGCUGAUGAUCUGAUGAUGGGCCGGUGGUUGUCGUCCCUUUACGUCUCUAUAUAUCAUCGGAAAACCAGAUGGACUCUUGUAUGUACACACGGUAGGCCUAUGAAGAAAAGGGCAGGUGUGCCAAUAUCGUAGGGCUGCUGCUGCUGUGUCGAUUGUCCUCGGCCAGGGGGAUGAAAAAAAGGGAACCGUUGAUGUACAUAUACCCUGGGCCCUUGGUGAUAUGGUUAUAACGGUCGCACGAGCCCCAGUCAACAGCAAUCCUCCCCUUACUAUACAUAUUCUAUCGCUCCGUUAUUAUGAUUAUGAUGGGCUAAAGCUCUUUUUUUUCUCCUAGAUAAUGCUGCGGGCCUUUUAAAUGGUGAGCGGCGAUUGAUACACAGCAGCAGCAGGAAGAGAUUUUCGAUCUGUUAUAAAACACCUCAAGGCUCCAGCCAGCUUCAAUUACAUUGUAGGUCGAGCAGUUCUACGAAUUUAGAUAUUACCAAGGAAAAAUUCGAUUUGGUUGAGAAUAAAGACAAUAGAAGCGGACUGCAACAGAGUA
RNAcentral lists this long non-coding RNA (2009 nucleotides) under Daphnia pulex (common water flea). RNAcentral's name for it is "uncharacterized LOC124198032". The record is from RNAcentral. Lineage: Eukaryota; Metazoa; Arthropoda; Branchiopoda; Diplostraca; Daphniidae.